RNAcentral lists this ribosomal RNA (440 nucleotides) under uncultured bacterium. RNAcentral's name for it is "partial 16S ribosomal RNA". It matches the Rfam family "Bacterial small subunit ribosomal RNA", at positions 338 to 795 of the family's 1533-position model. The record is from RNAcentral.
CCUACGGGAGGCUGCAGUGGGGGAUAUUGCACAAUGGGGGGAACCCUGAUGCAGCGACGCCGCGUGGGUGAAGAAGCGCCGCGGCGCGGAAAGCCCUGUCAGCAGGGAAGAAAAUGACGGUACCUGAGUAAGAAGACACGGCUAACUACGUGACAGCAGCCGCGGUAAUACGUAGGGGGCAAGGGUUAGCCGGAAUUACUGGGUGUAAAGGGAGCGUAGACGGUGUUGUAAGUCUGGAGUGAAAGGCGGGGGCCCAACCCCCGGACUGCUCUGGAAACUAUGUGACUGGAGUGCAGGAGAGGUGAGCGGAAUUCCUAGUGUAGCGGUGAAAUGCGUAGAUAUUAGGAGGAACACCAGUGGCGAAGGCGGCUCACUGGACUGUAACUGACGUUGAGGCUCGAAAGCGUGGGGAGCAAACAGGAUUAGAUACCCCAGUAGUC